Molecule: ribosomal RNA, 497 nt
Filed under: uncultured bacterium
Lineage: Bacteria
Description: partial 16S ribosomal RNA
Rfam family: Bacterial small subunit ribosomal RNA
Source: RNAcentral
GAUGAACGCUGGCGGCGUGCCUAAUACAUGCAAGUCGAGCGAACAGAUGAGGAGUUUGCUCCUCUGACGUUAGCGGCGGACGGGUGAGUACCACGUGGCUAACCUACCUAUAAGACUGGGAUAACUUCGGGAAACCGGAGCUAAUACCGGAUAAUAUAUUGAACCGCAUGGUUCAAUAGUGAAAGACGGUUUUGCUGUCACUUAUAGAUGGAUCCGCGCCGCAUUAGCUAGUUGGUAAGGUAACGGCUUACCAAGGCGACGAUGCGUAGCCGACCUGAGAGGGUGAUCGGCCACACUGGAACUGAGACACGGUCCAGACUCCUACGGGAGGCAGCAGUGGGGAAUCUUCCGCAAUGGGCGAAAGCCUGACGGAGCAACGCCGCGUGAGUGAUGAAGGUCUUCGGAUCGUAAAACUCUGUUAUUAGGGAAGAACAAAUGUGUAAGUAACUAUGCACGUCUUGACGGUACCUAAUCAGAAAGCCACGGCUAACUACGUG